GGAAAACCACCUUUUCAGGCCAAUAGUCCUCAAGACUUAAGGAUGUUUUAUGAAAAAAACAGGAGCUUAAUGCCUAGUAUUCCCAGAGAAACAUCACCUUAUUUGGCUAAUCUCCUUUUGGGUUUGCUUCAGAGAAACCAAAAAGAUAGAAUGGACUUUGAAGCAUUUUUUAGCCAUCCUUUUCUUGAGCAAGGUCCAGUAAAAAAAUCUUGCCCAGUUCCAGUGCCCAUGUAUUCUGGUUCUGUCUCUGGAAGCUCCUGUGGCAGCUCUCCAUCUUGUCGUUUUGCUUCUCCACCAUCCCUUCCAGAUAUGCAGCAUAUUCAGGAAGAAAACUUAUCUUCCCCACCAUUGGGUCCUCCCAACUAUCUACAAGUUUCCAAAGAUUCUGCCAGUACUAGUAGCAAGAACUCUUCUUGUGACACGGAUGACUUUGUUUUGGUGCCACACAACAUCUCGUCAGACCACUCAUAAAGAAAUAGAGAAACCAGCAGA
RNAcentral lists this long non-coding RNA (492 nucleotides) under Homo sapiens (human). RNAcentral's name for it is "non-protein coding lnc-ALDH3A1-2:1". The record is from RNAcentral. Lineage: Eukaryota; Metazoa; Chordata; Mammalia; Primates; Hominidae.